Molecule: ribosomal RNA, 747 nt
Filed under: uncultured Halobacteria archaeon
Lineage: Archaea; Methanobacteriati; Methanobacteriota; Halobacteria
Description: bacterial SSU rRNA
Rfam family: Archaeal small subunit ribosomal RNA
Source: RNAcentral
GCCAUUGCUAUCGGAGUCCGAUUUAGCCACGCUAGUCGUGAGGGUUCAGACCCUCGGCGAAUAGCUCCGUAACACGUGGCCAAACUACCCUAUGGAGAGCCAUAAUCUCGGGAAACUGAGGCUAAUAGCUCAUAUCACUCCCAGGCUGGAAUGCCGGGAGGUAGAAACGCUCCGGCGCCAUAGGAUGUGGCUGCGGCCGAUUAGGUAGACGGUGGGGUAACGGCCCACCGUGCCGAUAAUCGGCACGGGUUGUGAGAGCAAGAACCCGGAGAUGGAAUCUGAGACAAGAUUCCAGGCCCUACGGGGCGCAGCAGGCGCGAAACCUUUACACUGCACGCAGGUGCGAUAAGGGGACUCCGAGUGCGAGGGCAUACAGUCCUCGCUUUUGAGAACCGUAAGGAGGUUCUCGAAUAAGAGCUGGGCAAGACCGGUGCCAGCCGCCGCGGUAAUACCGGCAGCUCAAGUGAUGGCCGCUAUUAUUGGGCCUAAAGCGUCCGUAGCCGGCCGAAUAGGUCCGUCGGGAAAUCCACUGGCUCAACCAGUGGGCGUCCGGCGGAUACCGUUCGGCUUGGGACCGGAAGACUCGAGGGGUACGUCCGGGGUAGGAGUGAAAUCCUGUAAUCCUGGACGGACCACCGAUGGCGAAAGCACCUCGAGAGGACGGAUCCGACGGUGAGGGACGAAAGCUAGGGUCUCGAACCGGAUUAGAUACCCGGGUAGUCCUAGCCGUAAACGAUGCUCGCUAGG